GCACCUGCCCCACAGGUGAAGGCAGCCCCUGAGCCCAGUGUGGAGGCAGCUGCCUGGUCAGGUGUGAGCCACCCAGAGAGGUGGGCCCUCCUCCCUGCUCCCCUUCACCUGCGAGGCUUCCGGAAGAUGCAUCAUCGGCAGGAGUCCUUUCGGCUGACAACCAGCCCCUGCAGGAAAAGUGGACUCUGGGAAAGUUUCAGAGACAGAGAGCGCCCAGACACUGCCCCACUUUUAAAAAUUGUUUUAACUAUGAACUUCUAACAUUCGGCCACCAAUAGUAUCUGUUUGCACACAUGCCGUUCUUAUCUGCGGCCCAACAGCUUUGCAAAACCGAGACGCAAUAAUCCAUUUGAAGAUAUGGUCACAUUUAUGUCAGUUCUCCUCACACACAAACACUUAUCCUGCCUCUUAGAGCUCUUCAUUUCCAGCACGACUCCCAUUUCCAUGGAUGUUUUAUAAGGUUUCAGAAGGAUGAGUGUCUACCCCAAGCCUGAAGAGCGUGGACGGCCGAGCUCCUGGCAAAGGCCGGACACGACACGUAUGCGUGUUACACACACUGUUGCAGCAGCUACCGCGGAUACCGGCUCCAAACACAUACCCUGCAGAAUCCAGCUCAGUAUCUGUCUCUCUCAACUCCCGUGUCUCUGUGCCCACCGUCCCUGGCACCUGAGAGCCGGCCUGGGUGGCAUAUUCAGGCAGAGGAACUAAACAGAUGGUGAUGCAGCUGAAGAGUCUUCAAGGAAGGAAACCAAGAGAAACACCUUGG
This 766-nucleotide long non-coding RNA is filed under the name Sus scrofa (pig). Its description in RNAcentral is "lncRNA (ENSSSCG00070027343.1)". The record is from RNAcentral. Lineage: Eukaryota; Metazoa; Chordata; Mammalia; Artiodactyla; Suidae.